CCAAAAAUCACAAGCACGCGCAGAAGGUAGGCAAAUCCCUAGAUUCGUUCCCCACGCACGCUACCUGGGGCUCCCGCCGGUCGAUCCCACACCGUCCCACCGCCGCCCCGACACCGCCCGGGGCUACCGCCGGUCGAUCUCGACGCCGUACCACCGCCGCCCCAUACCGCCAUGCCUCUACAGCGCCGACCGACGCAGCCAUGCCUCUAAACGCCGCCGUGCCUCUAUAGCGCCGCUCCACGCCGUCCUGCCCCUUCAGCGCAGCCCAACGUCGUCCUGCAUCUCCACUGCCGGCCCAACGCCUUCCUUCUCUCUCUCCGGGUGGCCGCCUCUCUCCACGGCCACAUCCAGCACAGUUGCCGCCUUCCUCCCUGGCCCGACCUCCCCCAUGUCCACCACGAAAGCACACGCAGCGGUGGCGGCGAUUUGGAUCGGGGCAGCGUGCGGCUGGGCAAGGGCAUCGAUGCGGCUGAGGGAAAGGAUUACUCCGGCGGCGGGGAACGGGGAGCUCCGGCGGUGGGAAACGAGUAGAUGUUCCAGUGGACAAGGCACCUCAUGCUUUUAUUAUUCUCUGGUUCUCCGAUUUGCUGUGUACUGCUGCCAGCUAGUCUGAUUGUGAGAAGCUUUAUGGCAGCGAUAUGAACUAAUUUUAGAAGUUGAGCUGUUGUGUGCAAAUUUUGUUUAUUUCCAGUGCAAAUUUUGUGGUACCGAUAUGAACUAAUCUUUUUUUCCAUUGGUCAUUUAGUUCACCUUUCACUAAGAGUCAUGUUUACGGUGUUACUCUUGUUAUGCUUCUGCCCAAGAUAAGUUAAUUUUUGCUCUUCCAAAAAGGUUCCCCGGAUAUGUUUCCUGUUUUGUGCUUAGUCUGCCAUGAUGUGUUUAGUCUGCCACCGUGUUUAGUGUCUCUUUGUGCUUGAUAAGAGGAUUGUUCAAAUGUAAAAACUUUCUUUUUACAUGAGAUGACAUGGCUUUUGCCCCCUGUUUUCGCUGACUUGGUUUCUGCAGGUAGCAUAGUGUAUAACUGCUGGUAACAUUGAGUCGUCAAGGAGAAGUAGCAGGAGGAAAAAUGGCAAGCGCAAGUGGAAGCGGAAAAGCUAAAGGUGGUGGGGGUCAUGGAGGAACAUCUGAAAGCGGUAAGAGGUACAAGUUUGAUGCCGCGCUGAUUGAUGCACAACUUAUGAAAAGAUGUGACAGUAGAAUUAGUGAAGCUGACUGGAAGAACCUUAUUACUUACUGGAGAUCUUCGGUAUUUGAAGCUGUCAAACUUGUCCAUCAGCCUCGAAGAGAUCAAGUUUAUAUCGAGACAAAUACAUGCAAGAAAGGGGAUAAGAAAGGGAGUUAUGUGCCGCAGGCAGAAGCAACAAUUAAAUAUCUCGUAGGAAAGCUGAAAAGCGCACUGAAUGGAAGGAAAAAGCAUUCAAGAAGGUGAUCUAUUUGCACAUGUAUGUGGAAUGAAGGAGCCAAGGGGUCGUGUUCAUACUUCUGUAUGCAUGGACUGGUCAUGAAACUCCUGUUGCUCAGGCAACAAUUUCCAAAUUUGACCCGUAUUUGGUCAGGCAAGGUUCGCUUUUCCUUUAAUCAUGCAUAUUGAUUAUAAUAGUCUUAUGCUAUUUUAACCUUUGCACUGUGCUUUGUACAUAUAACUUAUACUAUGCGCAGAUAUAUUGUUUCCAUGUAAGAAAGUGUGAUGAAUAAAAAUAAGUCAAAAAAUAUAUACAAUGCCUUCUGAAUCUGAGCAAUAUCCCCACAAUUUUUUUUCUGUAUCACAAGAGACCACCAUGAUGAGUAUAUGUGUUCCAAUGAGCAGAUAGUGCUAGCUUAAUUUAUGAAUAAUGGAAAAAUAUAUUGAGGCUGUGAAGAAGGCUGCCAUCGAGACAAAGAGCGAGCACCCCAAGGAUUAAUGCGUGGCAUAGAAGGUUAUCAAAAGAACUAUGUCUUUUUGUUAAUUAAUUUCCUAGAUAAGUACACUCGCACAUGCAUCUUUGCGACAAAAUAAAAACUAAACUACUCUCUCUCUCUCUCUCUCUAAUGUUAUCAAAAGUACUAAUUGUGAAUUUCAUCUCUAUUUUCUCCAAAAACUCUGUUUGGUAUCCCUUUCACUGUAAGUUUAUUACUAUGUGAUUAGAGGAAUUAAGAUGUAUAUGUGCAUACUGUAAGAACAUGAUCAGUGGUGUACAGAUCCUAUGAAGUGAAAUACCCAACGCAGUUUAUACUCAACGCAGUCUAUGUGUACAGAUCCUGUGUGCAUAUUUUCUUUUUUCCUAGAUUUAUAGAAAAAUAGCAUAUGCGGCAUAAGCAAAAACUGUUUGUGAUGUAAACUAUGGUCUAACGAUUUAAGAUCGUCAUAGUUAUUCCCAUCUAAUAAUCUCAAACACAAAAAAGGUACCCCGUGUGUAUGCACAGGUCGAUGAAAAUGUCACACAAUUGAUUCUAUGCUGUAUCACCCAAUGUAUAGCAGCUUCCUUGACUUUAUUUUGUUCUCAUCGAGUGGCAUGGUAUUCUGCCAUGUUCCCCUGUCUAUGCAUCAUUGGCCCUUGGCCGGUGCUUCUCCUGUUGAGCGCCGAGGGGGAGAUUAAAUAAGAACAGCAGCAGAGCAACAUCGGCGUUGAAAAAGAGCAUCAGGGAGAUUAUUAUGCAUGGCAAAUUAAUACACUUCUAUAACUAUGUAAUUUCGAUAUUUAUUGUACUGAAGCUCCACUAUAACAACCAGUGCACUAAAUAACAACAACUUUUGUAAUCCAUGUGCAGUUCUAGGUUCUGGCUUUGUAGUGUGCAUUAUCUAGUUGAAAAAUGAAAUGAUGUGAAACUAUGUUCGAUCUUGCUGGUUUGCUGCUUGUCAACCUUGCUAUGCUGCUGUCUGCUGAAUUUUGGGUGUACGUCGAUGCAAAUGAACAUGGAAACGACUUCAGCUUCACAUUUUUUUACUAAGCCUCAUGAUGCUAAUGGUAGUUGGUUUCUAUACUCUGCAAGCCUCAUGAUGCUAAUUGAAAUAUCCUUUAUCAUGUUGCAGAUGCUAAGCAAAUGCUUUCGAUGCUACCUGUUCUUAUUCAGCUGCUAACUUUUCUUAAUCAUCUGAUUUCUUCUUUCAUUCAUGUAGGAAUGGCUAAAGGUACGCGCGCUUUUAAAAUUUCUAGAAGGGUACCCCUUUUCCUGUCAGUGGUAAUGAAUUCUCUUGAGUUGCUUUGAUGUUCAAGCUAGAGAAUGUUCUCCAAUGAGAUGAAGGAUGAAGGCUUUGAUGUCAAGUGCGAGAACGAUGCAACGAUCUUGUUGGAAGGCUGUGAGGAUGGGUAUGUAGUUGCCCACUACAAGGAGCCAAGGCAGAUGAUGUAUUGCAGAAAACAAAGCGACAAACUUUUGCUCUCAGACAGUGAACUAUCAUGUUUCCUCUAUUUAAUUAGUUACUUUAGUUUAUUUAUAGGAAACUUGGCUGGCCAUUCUUUCAUAACUAUUGAACUAUUUAUAUGUGAAAAUUAAUGAAUGUGUGUGACUAUUGUUUGGUUCUGGUUUAA
This is a long non-coding RNA of Triticum dicoccoides, 3509 nucleotides long. RefSeq lists it as uncharacterized. The transcript is spliced from 5 exons. NCBI's taxonomy places the organism in Eukaryota, Viridiplantae, Streptophyta, Magnoliopsida, Poales, Poaceae. The record is from RefSeq and is a predicted model, not a curated record.